CCAGUAUGUGUAGUCAUGUGUGCCGUUAAGUUACUACUACGAGCAAAAUCUCUACCACAAACAUCACAUUUAUGAGGUGUUUCACCAGUAUGAGUUCUUGAAUGUUUCUUUAAGUCAACAUUUUGAGAAAAUUCACAAGCACAAACAUCACAUUUAUAAGGUGUUUCGCCAGUAUGCGUUCUCAUAUGUUUCUUCAAGGUACAACCUUGAGUAAAUUUUCUAAAACAAACAUCACAUGUGUGACAUUUGUGAGGUUUUUCACCAGUAUGUGUUCUCAAGUGUCUGUUUAAGUGACCACUUUGUGUAAAUUUUCUAAAACAAAUAUCACAUUUGUGAGGUUUUUCACCAGUAUGUGUUCUCAUGUGUCCUUUUAAGUAACUUCUUUGACUAAAUUUUCUAAAACAAACAUCACACUUGUGAGGUUUUUCGCCAGUAUGUGUUCUCAAGUGUCUCUUUAAGUGACUAUCUCGAGAAAAUUCUUUAGCACAAACAUCACAUUUAUGAAGUGUUUUACCAGCCUGUGUGUUUAUGUGUCUCUGUAGAGUACCAUUGAGUGUGACUAAAUCAUCUCCUCCCUCUAACAUCUUAUUGAUAAUGUUUAUC
Molecule: long non-coding RNA, 603 nt
Filed under: Mytilus galloprovincialis (Mediterranean mussel)
Lineage: Eukaryota; Metazoa; Mollusca; Bivalvia; Mytilida; Mytilidae
Source: RNAcentral